This 195-nucleotide unclassified non-coding RNA is filed under the name Apodus deciduus. Its description in RNAcentral is "partial internal transcribed spacer region". The stretch from base 1 to 46 matches the Rfam family "Eukaryotic small subunit ribosomal RNA", at positions 1786 to 1831 of the family's 1831-position model. Lineage: Eukaryota; Fungi; Ascomycota; Sordariomycetes; Sordariales; Lasiosphaeriaceae. The record is from RNAcentral.
AAGUCGUAACAAGGUCUCCGUUGGUGAACCAGCGGAGGGAUCAUUACAGAGUUGCAAAACUCCCAACCCUUUGUGAACGAACCUACCAGUUGCUUCGGCGGCAGACCCCUCUGGGGCCUAGCCUUUACGGGUACCCCGCCGGCUUCAAAAUAUUUUAAAAAAUACAAACCAUUUCAGUGGAUCCCUUGGCUCGUG